AUUUGGCAUGGGGGANCUUGAUCCAGCCAUGCCCGCGUGAGUGAAGAAGGCCUUCGGGUUGUAAAGCUCUUUUGGUCGGGAAGAAAGGGUUUCCUUGAAUACGGGAGACUUUUGACGGUACCGGCAGAAUAAGCACCGGCUAACUACGUGCCAGCAGCCGCGGUAAUACGUAGGGUGCGAGCGUUAAUCGGAAUUACUGGGCGUAAAGAGUGCGUAGCCGGUUCGUUAUGUCUGCUGUGAAAGCCCCGGGCUNAACCCGGGAAUGGCAGUGGGAAACUGGCGGGGCUUUGAGUGUGGCAGAGGGGGUNGGAAUUCCGCGUGUAGCAGUGAAAUGCGUAGAGAUGCGGAGGANCACCGAUGGCGAAAGCGGCCCCUGGGUUAANCUUNACNCUNAAGCACCGAANNCUGGGGGGGCAAACAGGAUNAGAANCCCUUGNAGGCCAAGGNNNAUUNUGGNAAUUCCANUNAANUUGGGGG
This 477-nucleotide ribosomal RNA is filed under the name uncultured bacterium. Its description in RNAcentral is "partial 16S ribosomal RNA". It matches the Rfam family "Bacterial small subunit ribosomal RNA", at positions 363 to 831 of the family's 1533-position model. The record is from RNAcentral.